Lycium ferocissimum is the source of this 1540-nucleotide long non-coding RNA. RefSeq lists it as uncharacterized. Lineage: Eukaryota; Viridiplantae; Streptophyta; Magnoliopsida; Solanales; Solanaceae. The transcript has 4 exons. The record is from RefSeq and is a predicted model, not a curated record.
CAGUCCAUAACAAAUAAAGAGAACCCUAGCCGGAGUAAGUAUAUGAAAAGGCAAAUGGCCCCCAAAAUAAGAAAGAGGGGGGCAAGCCAUCUGAAGAGAAUGGCAGGAAGUGAGGAGCUUGAAGCGGCUAAAAUGGAGAGUGGGAACACAUGUGGAAAAGAAAACACUGACCCAAGGAAUGAUGGGAAUUACAUAUAUAGUUUUCAAUCUGAAAGUAUAAAUCCCCCUCUCUACUUUUGCUGCUCGCUCUGAUGCUAUUCAGACCUUCAGUGGCUUUCUCCCAUCGGCCUUAUGAUGAUUCUACAAUCUGAAGAUUUAAGAGGGAUUGAUGCAGGUCAAGCUAUAGGGGGUAUUACUAGACAACCUAUUUUUUCCCGGUAUAUACCACGUGAAGCCACAAAUGCAUCCUUAAAAGGCUCAGAAACUGAACAUCCAGUAUUAUAUCAAUGUCCGCAAGUCGAUAAGUCAUCUUAUGGAGGUUGAUCUACGACUACCAUCUCACUCACAACACACAUGCUAUAUGUGAUGCACUAUCAAAUGCAUUCCAAUCUCAUAAGAAUCUUUGGACCUUUAUCGAUUUUACUACAGACUACCAAUCUCUGAGAAAGCAACUGAUUGUGUACAACAAGGCUCCAAAUUCCAAUUGAGGAAAGGUCAGGCCAGAGUAAAUUGAUGAGCAAUAACAAACGCUCCCAAGAUAGUGUAAAGAGAUAAAUAUAAGAGACUUUUAUGUGUUUUUUCGGUUAACAAAACAGAUUUGUUUGUAAUAUUUUCAAACAUUAAAUAUGAAUCCAACUUUAUACUGAAAUAAUGAUAUCUCUUGUCCUCUUAUACUAGUAUCACAAAUCACAAUCAUCAACAAAUUUUAAGUGUUAAUCACUUUGAUUCUCUUUCAUUCUUUUUCUCCAACCUCAUUAUGCAAAACUUAUUUUCUUCUAAAUAUUUUCUUUAAUCUACUGUUAUCUUUUAAACAUUUUACUUCUUAUAUUGUUUAUAUUACAACUUAAUUACCUAGAUUAAUGCAUGUGACACUAGAAUUAUUUAGGUGUGCUCCUUUUUGUAAGGUAAUGGGUUUCAGUUACUAUUGUUGGGUUUAAUUGAUAGGUUGAAUGAGAAAUGGAGAGAAAAGAAGUGGAGGGAAAAUGAGUUGUUUCCUCUUGCUUUAUGAAAUAAACAUGUGUCUCUCAUAGGUGGUAGAAAGAAAAGUUCUCCUACUUAAAAGUAGAAGCACUCCUUGUUGCUAAAGGGUUAAGAAGAGGGUCUCCCCUUGUGCCGUUGUCGUCGUCGCUCGGCUUCGGCUUCGGCUUCGGUCAAAUGAUUUGAUUGAUAAUCUUAAGUGGUUCGCCUGACAUCGCGUGAAGAAUGGAAACAGAAAAUGAUGUUAAUGCUCCUAAUGGAACUGCGAUUGUUGGUGCGACUGUUGGUACUACUGUUGGUGCGACUGUUGGGGCGACAAAUGUUGCGUCGUCAAGCCGUCCAAAUGCGCACACGCGAUGGCACCGAAGGAAACCGGGGGGAAGUUUUCUGGUAUCAACUUCAA